AGUGCAGUCGUCAGAGUGAAGCAGCAGGAGCCCGCAGAUCGGAAAACGCUUACAGUUCAUCCAAGUGCCUUGGAGGCCAUUUCACCUUUUUCAACCAUUUGGCUUACAGUUCGUUCAAGUGCUGCCAAUUUCUUGGGGGCCAUUUCACCUUUAUCAACCAUUUGAGUAAUCUUACAGUUAAGUCAGGUGUUGCCAGUCUGUUGGACCAUUUUAUAAUUGUUGUUGGAGUCAUCUUACUAUUUCAACUGCUAGAGUAAAGUGCUGUGAGAAAGAACCAUGUCUCCCAUGCCGCACUGAUGAUUCAUCUAUUCAUUCAUUUUCUUUUCGGCUUAGUCUCUUUAUUAAUCCGGGGUCGCCACAGCGGAAUGAACCACCAACUCAUCCAGCAUAUGUUUUACACAGCGGAUGCCCUUCCAGCUACAACCCAUCUCUGGGAAACAUCCAUACACACUCAUAAACUACGGACAAUUUAGCCUACCCAAUUCACCUGUAAUGCAUGUGUUUGGACUGUGGGGGAAACCAGAG
Molecule: long non-coding RNA, 525 nt
Organism: Danio aesculapii
Lineage: Eukaryota; Metazoa; Chordata; Actinopteri; Cypriniformes; Danionidae
Exons: 5
Source: RefSeq, a predicted model, not a curated record